Molecule: ribosomal RNA, 509 nt
Filed under: uncultured bacterium
Lineage: Bacteria
Description: bacterial SSU rRNA
Rfam family: Bacterial small subunit ribosomal RNA
Source: RNAcentral
UAGUCCACGCCGUAAACGAUGAUUACUCGAUGUUGGUGAUACACAAUCAGCGUCCACGCGAAAGCUUUAAGUAAUCCACCUGGGGAGUACGAUCGCAAGGUUGAAACUCAAAGGAAUUGACGGGGGCCCGCACAAGCGGAGGAGCAUGUGGUUUAAUUCGACGAUACGCGAGGAACCUUACCUAGACUUAAAUGUAGAUUGCAUAGAUUGGAAACAGUCUUUUCCUUCGGGACUAUUUACAAGGUGCUGCAUGGUUGUCGUCAGCUCGUGCCGUGAGGUGUCGGGUUAAGUCCCAUAACGAGCGCAACCCCUAUCGUUAGUUGCCAGCGGAUCAUGCCGGGGACUCUAACGAAACUGCCGGCGCAAGCCGAGAGGAAGGUGGGGAUGACGUCAAAUCAGCACGGCCCUUACGUCUAGGGCUACACACGUGCUACAAUGGCCGGUACAGAGGGCAGCCACCUGGUGACAGGGAGCAAAUCUCCAAAGCCGGUCUCAGUUCGGAUCGAAGU